RNAcentral lists this ribosomal RNA (919 nucleotides) under uncultured archaeon. RNAcentral's name for it is "bacterial SSU rRNA". It matches the Rfam family "Archaeal small subunit ribosomal RNA", at positions 1 to 922 of the family's 1478-position model. The record is from RNAcentral.
UUUCCCGGUUGAUCCCGCCCGGAGGUCACUGCUAUUGGGAUUCGACUAAGCCAUGCGAGUCGAGAGGGUUCGGCCCUCGGCUGACGGCUCAGUAACACGUGGAUAAUCUGCCCUUUAGGUGGAGGAUAAUCUCGGGAAACUGAGGACAAUACUCCAUAGGUUUAGGAGGCUGGAAUGCAUCUAGACUCAAAGCUCCGGCGCCUAAGGAUGAGUCUGCGGACUAUCAGGUUGUAGUCAGGGUAAUGACCUGACUAGCCUACGACGGAUACGGGUUGUGAGAGCAAUAACCCGGAGACGAUAUCUGAGACACGAUAUCGGGCCCUACGGGGCGCAGCAGGCGCGAAAACUUCACACUGUGCGAAAGCACGAUGAGGGAAUCCCAAGUGCCAGCUCGUAAGAGUUGGCUGUUUCUUUGUUUAAAGUACAGAGAAAGUAAGAGCUGGGUAAGACGGGUGCCAGCCGCCGCGGUAAUACCUGCAGCUCAAGUGGUGACCGUUAUUAUUGGGCCUAAAACGUUCGUAGCCGGUUUAGUAAAUGCCUGGGUAAAUCGUGUAGCUUAACUAUACGAAUUCCGGGUAGACUGCUAAACUUGAGACCGGGAGAAGCUAGAGGUACUCCUGGGGUAGAGGUAAAAUUCUGUAAUCCUAGGGGGACCACCAGUGGCGAAGGCGUCUAGCUAGAACGGGUCUGACGGUGAGGGACGAAGCCCUGGGGCGCAAACCGGAUUAGAUACCCGGGUAGUCCAGGGUGUAAACGCUGCUCGCUUGAUGUUAGUUGGGCUCCGUGCCCAAUUAGUGUCGGAGAGAAGUUGUUAAGCGAGCUGCCUGGGAAGUACGGUCGCAAGACUGAAACUUGAAGGAAUUGGCGGGGGAGCACAGCAACGGGUGGAGCGUGCGGUUUAAUUGGAUUCAACGCCGGA